Molecule: transfer RNA, 74 nt
Filed under: Ovis aries (sheep)
Lineage: Eukaryota; Metazoa; Chordata; Mammalia; Artiodactyla; Bovidae
Rfam family: tRNA
About the family: Transfer RNA (tRNA) molecules are approximately 80 nucleotides in length. Their secondary structure includes four short double-helical elements and three loops (D, anti-codon, and T loops).
Source: Rfam by way of RNAcentral
GUCUCUUUGGUGCAACUGGUUAGCACUUUUGACUGUUAACAGAAAGGUUGGUGGUUCGAGCCCACCUAGUGAUG